AACAACGUUCAUAUCACGUUGAAUACACCAGUUCUCGUCCGAUCACUGAAGUUAAGCAACGUUGAGCGUAGACAAUACUUGGAUGGGUGACCGCUUGGGAACACCACGUAACGUUGGUA
This 119-nucleotide ribosomal RNA is filed under the name Diaphorina citri (Asian citrus psyllid). Lineage: Eukaryota; Metazoa; Arthropoda; Insecta; Hemiptera; Psyllidae. The record is from RNAcentral.